Molecule: long non-coding RNA, 785 nt
Filed under: Portunus trituberculatus (swimming crab)
Lineage: Eukaryota; Metazoa; Arthropoda; Malacostraca; Decapoda; Portunidae
Description: uncharacterized LOC123518627, transcript variant X3
Source: RNAcentral
GCGUCUCAUUACAGAACACUGCAGUACUCCAAUCCUGUAGAAAUGGUAUAAAAAAAAAAAAAAAUGAUUGGCGUGUUGAUGUGAAUGGUGUGAUGGUGAAAAUGUGAUUUGUUCAAUCAUUUUUACAAGUUUUGGAGUUUUGCAGUAUCCUGUGAUGAGACGAAUAGUAUUGACGGACAGCUGAUUUACUGAUUAGCAUGGCUAUCUUUGACGAAAAAAUAAAUAGUUGGUAGGCUACGUGAGGUCCCAGGAUGCUGCUGAGUGAACGCCAUUGUUGACAGGGUGAAAAAAAAACUGCAAUGCAGUGAGCUCAGUACUGGUGACUGCACUAUUGCUGCAUAUUCAAGUCUUGGUCUUAUCGUCAAUGUUAUUAAUUUCUUGAUCACAUCUUCAUUCAGAGUGUCCUCCAAGACUGCCUGCAACUUUCUGUUAAUCUCCAGGGAGAGCUCAAGAGUCAUAGUUCCAUCCCGAGGUGCUGAUCCAUACACUGAUGCCAUGAUACCACCAUGCCGCAUCAACUCAGCCUGAGAAGAGACAAAGUGGAUUUUAGUUUGUAUGAAUUGUAUGCCUUUACAUAUUGAUAAAAAAUAUGCAAGAAUCAAUAAGCACCUUUAAGUAUGCUUUAAAACUACACUAGUAUAUGUUUUUGCAACCAAUAUUGGAGGACGCACCUGUUUCUUUGAACCUGGUAUCCUGGUAGCAGCAUUGGAAGACUGAUAUAAAAAUGUUAUUAAUACUGGGUCAGUUCUCCAACUAGCCCAAAAAAUAAAAGUGUCAAGAUCUUA